UGCAAGUCGAACGAGAAUGUAGACUUCGGUCUACUAGUAAAGUGGCGGACGGGUGCGUAACACGUGGGUAAUCUACCUUCCGGCGGGGGACAACAGAUCCGAAAGGAUUGCUAAUACCGCGUACGUCAGCGGCGCCUACGGGCGCUGUUGGGAAAGAUGGCCUCUCCUUGGAAGCUAUCACCGGAAGAUGAGCCCGCGUCCCAUCAGCUAGUUGGUGAGGUAAUGGCUCACCAAGGCAAAGACGGGUAGCUGGUCUGAGAGGAUGAUCAGCCACACUGGGACUGCGACACGGCCCAGACUCCUACGGGAGGCAGCAGUGGGGAAUAUUGGGCAAUGGGCGAAAGCCUGACCCAGCCACGCCGCGUGAGUGAUGAAGGCCUUCGGGUCGUAAAGCUCUGUGGGGAGGGACGAACAAAUCUGGGGCUAAUCACCCGGAUCCUGACGGUACCUCCUUAGCAAGCACCGGCUAACCCUGUGCCAGCAGCCGCGGUAAUACAGGGGGUGCAAACGUUGCUCGGAAUCAUUGGGCGUAAAGCGCACGUAGGCGGUCUGUUAUGUCGGAUGUGAAAGCCCUUGGCUUAACUGAGGAAGUGCAUCCGAAACUGGCAGGCUAGAGUACUAAAGAGGGUCGCGGAAUUCCCGGUGUAGAGGUGAAAUUCGUAGAUAUCGGGAGGAACACCGGUGGCGAAGGCGGCGACCUGGGUAGAUACUGACGCUGAGGUGCGAAGCGUGGGGAGCAAACAGGAUUAGAUACCCUGGUAGUCCACGCCGUAAACGAUGAGUGCUAGAUG
This 791-nucleotide ribosomal RNA is filed under the name uncultured delta proteobacterium. RNAcentral describes it as "bacterial SSU rRNA". It matches the Rfam family "Bacterial small subunit ribosomal RNA", at positions 56 to 822 of the family's 1533-position model. The record is from RNAcentral. Lineage: Bacteria; Deltaproteobacteria.